Molecule: transfer RNA, 71 nt
Filed under: Candidatus Nomurabacteria bacterium
Lineage: Bacteria; Candidatus Nomuraibacteriota
Also listed under: 1 other name
Description: tRNA-Trp
Rfam family: tRNA
About the family: Transfer RNA (tRNA) molecules are approximately 80 nucleotides in length. Their secondary structure includes four short double-helical elements and three loops (D, anti-codon, and T loops). Further hydrogen bonds mediate the characteristic L-shaped molecular structure. tRNAs have two regions of fundamental functional importance: the anti-codon, which is responsible for specific mRNA codon recognition, and the 3' end, to which the tRNAs corresponding amino acid is attached (by aminoacyl-tRNA synthetases). tRNAs cope with the degeneracy of the genetic code in two manners: having more than one tRNA (with a specific anti-codon) for a particular amino acid; and 'wobble' base-pairing, i.e. permitting non-standard base-pairing at the 3rd anti-codon position.
Source: RNAcentral
GGGCCUAUAGUUCAGUGGUAGAAUUUCGGUCUCCAAAACCGACGACAGAGGUUCGAAUCCUCUUGGGCCCG